Molecule: long non-coding RNA, 578 nt
Organism: Morone saxatilis (striped sea-bass)
Lineage: Eukaryota; Metazoa; Chordata; Actinopteri; Moronidae
Exons: 3
Source: RefSeq, a predicted model, not a curated record
UGGUGUGUAUGUGUGGGGCCUGGUCAGAUUUAAUCUUAACACUGUCAGGUACAGAAGUGGCUGUCUGAUUUUUUAUUAUCCUCAUAUAUACAUAAUUUUAGCUAAUUUUUUGCCUAAAUUAAAGCUGCACUUAAGAGUUAAGUUUCUUAGAGCAAGAAACGAGACAAAACAGCAGAUACUCACUACCGGUGAAAUGGAGGAUUUUGCUAAAUAUUUGGACUUCAACAGGACUCUUUCUCUGAUAUGUUGCAUGUUUUGGAUUUUCUCACCAACAGAAGGAACCACUAUGUCAAAGGUGGUUGGCAACAGAGUGGUCCUGCCCUGUGACACUGUGAACAACACGCUCACUCAGCUGACGUGGAAAAAGAAUGGGGACAGGCUGUUCAGUUUCAGGCCCCAGAAUCCCUUACACAAGAGUCCAGAAGCUAAAAGACUCAAUAUAAAUAUGUCCGAGUUAGAGAGCCAACGAUAUGCACUGAUCAUAGAGAGAGUCCAGAUUUCUCAUUCAGGAAACUACACCUGUGAGAUAACCACAAAUGAAGGACCUUACUCAAAGCUAUGGGAGCUCAUAAUUACAG